This 301-nucleotide ribosomal RNA is filed under the name uncultured bacterium. RNAcentral's name for it is "partial 16S ribosomal RNA". It matches the Rfam family "Bacterial small subunit ribosomal RNA", at positions 509 to 807 of the family's 1533-position model. The record is from RNAcentral.
CAGCCGCCACGGUAAUACGUAGGGUGCAAGCGUUAAUCGGAAUUACUGGGCGUAAAGCGUGCGCAGGCGGUUUGUUAAGUCUGUUGUGAAAUCCCCGGGCUCAACCUGGGAAUGGCAAUGGAUACUGGCAAGCUAGAGUGUGUCAGAGGAUGGUGGAAUUCCCGGUGUAGCGGUGAAAUGCGUAGAGAUCGGGAGGAACAUCAGUGGCGAAGGCGGCCAUCUGGGACAACACUGACGCUGAGGCACGAAAGCGUGGGGAGCAAACAGGAUUAGAUACCCGCGUAGUCCCUGUCUCUUAUAC